Molecule: transfer RNA, 72 nt
Filed under: Camelus bactrianus (Bactrian camel)
Lineage: Eukaryota; Metazoa; Chordata; Mammalia; Artiodactyla; Camelidae
Also listed under: 2 other names
Rfam family: tRNA
About the family: Transfer RNA (tRNA) molecules are approximately 80 nucleotides in length.
Source: Rfam by way of RNAcentral
GAGGAUAUAGCUCCAUGGUAGAGUGUGUGCUUAGCAUGCACAAGGUCCUGGGUUCAAUCCCCAGUACCUUUA